Long non-coding RNA from Homo sapiens (human), 7993 nucleotides. Ensembl annotates it as PAX8 antisense RNA 1. Its record names the gene PAX8-AS1. The record is from Ensembl. NCBI's taxonomy places the organism in Eukaryota, Metazoa, Chordata, Mammalia, Primates, Hominidae.
AGGGGUGGAGCUAGAACUGGACACCUCGGGGGUUUCCUGCUUUAUGGCGAAGGGAGUGAUGCUUCCCCCUCUGUGAAUGUGGCUUUGGGUAUGGCUAAUCCACACCCUGCACUCUGGCCUUCAGAAGCCCAGGGAGAGAAGCCUCCCAGAAGCAACCUUCCAGAACCUUCUCCAUCCUCCCACCGACCUCCCCAGCCCCUGUCCUCUCUUUGAAUCUCGUUGUCAAGUUCUUCCCGCAGACACCUGGCUCCUUGAGGGGAGGUGCAGCUUUCAUCUGACCAUGCAGGCGUGCUUUGCAGUGGGUAGAGCAGUGCUUUCCUCCUCCCAGCUGCACACUGGAAUCACCUGGAGAGUCCAGAAACUUCCCGCCUCAGUGAAAGAACAUCAGUGUAUCAGCACAGCAAAUAUUCCAAAUGCCAGGCUGGAUUCCCUCCAAUUACCAGGACCUCCAGGCUUCUCCUCCUUUCAAGAACUUUCUGACCCUGGAUCCAGUCUAAAUGUUGGUUAUAAACUCACCUGACAUCCACAGGGCCCUUCCAAAAUACUGUCAAGGCUGACUGCUGGUGCCUGGAACCUGCACACCCUCCUGGGACUCUGCAUCUCUGCUGGGGCUGGUUUCUCCUCUGAGCCACCUUAAGGAAUCCCACCCUGACCCGGUCAGAGCUCACCAUGCCUCCCUCUCCUACUUGCUCAGCAUUUUGUGUCUAUCUAGACUGAAGCCUUUGCUUUCUCUCUGUGAUUAUGGUGAAAGUUCAGUUUGCUUUCCUAUCUCUAGAAUGUCAGCACGAAGGCAGAGGCAUGGUCUCCUGAGUUCCAUAACCCCAAAGCCUAACUCCCUGCCUGCCACACUGAGGGGCUUAGUAGACAUUGACUUACUAAAUUGAAUAGUUGAGUAAUAAUGCUCUUUGAAAUAAUUUGGAGUUAGAUCUUGAGCCUUGUGUGGCCAGAGGAUGGGUGAGGACACAUCAUAAAAACUAAAGGUAACUGAGCAUGCCAGUGGUUGGGGUGAGAAAUUUGCAUGGAGCACUCCAGACACAGAGGCAGCAAAACCCAAGUGCUGGGAAGUCAGAGUGAGAGAGUGAAGGGGCAGUGAGUGCUUCUUUAGGAGCUGGAUCAAAACCUAAGAUGAUCUGGCCACAUGGUGCAGACUGAGCACACACUUGGGAGAGAAAUGGGCCAGGAGGAGAGGAGAGAGGUUCACCACAGGACAGUGGAUGACUGGGAAUAGAAGCCCUCCCCAUGGUGGACCAAGAAGUCUGUGAAGCUGAGAGAAAGACAAAAGAAAUCACGACUUCUGUAGGUAGCUGGGAUGGAAACCUCAGGGGUGACAGGGUCUUUAAAGGAAAUCUCAAGGAAGGCAUCAUGUUCUGGGUGUGCUCCAGGGAUGCUGAGUAAGAAAAGACCAGCCUUUCUGUGUGUGUCUUUACUCUGCCACAAGGCACCUGGGCUCCUAAAUGACCAAUACACAUGUGCUAUACUGGUGCCAAGAAAGAAGGGUGUUUUGUAGGAAAGUCAAGGUGAGAGGAGGUGCCCAGGACUUGGCUCCUUUCUUUGAAGGGUGACGGUGUAAAUUCUCCAUGCUGGGGAUCCUACUGAUGGAUGGAGGCAUGUCGAUCUCAUCAUUUCACAGAGUGGGGAGCUAUGGCCACAACGUGCCUAUCACACAAGUCCAGCCUCACGUCAGCUGGACACCAGCUGUUCUGACACUUGUCAGCACAUGGGGCACCCGGAAGUUCAUGGUGUUCUGCAAAGAACGCCACAAAACAGUGAGCUCAACUUCUUGAAAGUCAUAAUGUGUUGCUAAGUCCGAUCCCAGAUCCUAAAAAUAAUAUGAGGUAGUGGCCAUUGAACAGAAAAAAUUUACAUCUUAAACUUGAAGAUAAGUACAAGUGUACCUUUUUCUACCACUGUUGUUCAGUUUUAUUAUAUUGACAAGCACCUCUGCCCACCCUGUGGGGUAAAACUGUUUGAAAGUGUUUAUGAAAGUUUUAUAUAAAUAUUGGUUGAUCAAAUGUACAAAAUAUGCAUGAUGGCACCAUAUUGUGUAUAAUAGUGACAAAUACAGUCUAUGUGGGUGGAGAAACAAGCUCGGUGUUGUGCAUGCGGCUGUGGUUUGUGUUCACACUUCUCCUUUAGAGUGUAGUAGACAGAACAUGCCUGAACUGCCUGGGGCUGAGGGGUCUCAGGCGCAGAGUGGCCCAGGAAUUCUGAGCAAGGACAGAAUGUUAGAGAGAAUAUCCUGAGCUGAGCAGAGAGGCCUGCCCAUGCUAGCUGGCAGCCACCUGCCUUCAGUGCUUCAUUCUUGGGGGACCUUGAGGCCAGUUCUUGAGUGGAUGAGUCCUGCCGCUACUGCUGCUGCCCACUUGGUAGCUCUGUCCUCAUCUGGGAAGAGCCACUGUGAACCCCAGAGACCUAGUGGUGCUAGGGGCUGAUGCAGGCAAAUGACUGGCUGCCCCUGGAUCUUAUGUGAAAACAAGAAUGCUGGACCAAAAGGUCUCUACAGGGCUCCAUGACUACCCAUGACCCGUAACUUCAGUGAGGAGCUAGUGGCCAGGAGGGGCUCAUGGUUGGACACUGGUAUUCCUCUACUCAGACCUUAAACCACAGGUUGCAAGAACAGGGAGGUCACAUGUCAGUGACCUCAUGCCUAAAUAGAUGCAUAGCACAGAGCAGAUUCCUGGAUAGCUUACACCCUACUUUCCCCAGUGCAUCGAUUAUGACUUCCUUUCUAGCAACUGUGAGUACAGCCGGGACUCAUCAAUCACACCUGUAACUUCCCAGCUGCAUUUCUCAGGGUCUCUGAAAGCAGGGCCUUCUCUGGUCUUUUUAAAUUACCCACAGACCUAGGACAGUCUUCUGCACAUACUUCUACAUUUUAAAGGCUUACUUUUAGUAUGUUUAUGUGUGUGAGAUGGGGAAUAUUGUAUUCAUGUGUGCAUGUAUAUGUCUGUGAGUACUGUGGUCUGUGUGUGUAACUGGGUAUGACUGUGUGUGUCAUAUGGAUACAGGGGACUAGAAUGAGGACAGCCAGGUGUCCAGGCUAUAAGAUCUAAGGAGGCACUUGCUCUCAGGGCCAACCCUGCCCUUGCGUGAGCCUGAGAGAGAGAGCCUCCUGGAAUUUUGCACCUUGAGUGCCUUCCUGCUUCACCCUAAUCCCCCCGGUUGUCUGUAUGUUUGGAUGUGAGUGUUGUACAUAUGCUGUGUAUGUGUGUGCAUGCAUGUGAGUGUGCAUGGGUGUGUGUCUGUAUGUCUCAGCAGCUGUCACUGGGCUUCCCAGUCCCUGUCAGCAGGCGAAGGAGGCCCCUUCAUUUCCUUGGGUCCUGCUUAUGCAGCACAGGCCACAGCAAAGGCUCCCUGGGUUGGGUCAGCCCUCACUCUAACUCAACAUGCCCUGGAAGUCACCACAGGGUCAUGGAAAGAGUCCUGGUGAUGAGAUGGAGUGUCUGCUCUGCCACAAGGGCUGUGGGACCAGGGUCGGGGCAUACCUCUCUGGGUCUCAGUUUCCUCACUGGUAAGAUGUGGCAACAGAAUCUCAUCUGUGAGCCCCCUCUAGCCUUGAACAACUCUGGAUCCAGGUAGACCAGCAUAAUGAAAGCCUAUGAAGCUUCUGAGAUGUGCGAGGCAUACAUUGUCCCAGGUACUCAAGUAACUCAAGUCUGGAAGCUGCGAGCCACAGAGAUCAAGCCUUCUCCAAAAAUUGGACUGCAAGGCAUGCCGUACAAACAGAGUGCUAGGAGACCUUGGGGAGGUGGGGAAGAGGAAGAGGAAUCAUGGACAGCUUCAUGGGGAGGUGGCUUUGGAGCUGGGAUGGGUGAGGACAGCUGGAAUGUGGGCAGCACGUGACCAAGUGCUUUGCAGACAUGGCAUGGCCCCCAGCCAGGCCCUGAGGAAAGGAGAGUCUCAGGACAGCAGCUAUGUCACUGUAAGCAGGACCCUUGAAAGCAGGUGCCACCUGCAAAAGGGGGAGCCCUGAGGCCCAGGCAGGCCUGUCACAGUGUGGGGCACCUGUCUAGACAGCCCCAUGGCCAGCAGUGGGGGUGGGCCAUGGGCCAUGGGGACCUUCCUGGUAUGGGGUACUGCCAUGUCCCCAGGGAAUAUGGGGGGCCCAGGAAGGUCCCCAAGGCUCGAAGGACCCAGGUCUUUUCAUACUGCCAAAGAGAUGUAAGGCCUACAGAGGGGAAAGUUUGCAUAUCUGUGAAGGCAUGGAGCCUAGGCAUUGGAAGUGUCCAGUAAGCAUUUUCAUUUGGCAGAAGUAUCUCCAUGGCACUUCUACCUACAGCCCUGCCACAUUUUGCCACAAACUGUCCAGCAGCCCUGAGAUGGAGCCCCAGUGUAGACCGUCAUGGAGCACACUGGCUCUGGAACAAUGAGGAGCAGACUGGAGAAAGCCAGAUGGGGUUUACCUGUCAACAGCCACAACAUAGUUGUGCUGGGGUGACUGUUCAAGAAAAAUGAACUUUGGUGCUCCUGCCGAAUGGGUUGUUAGUGUUCAGUCCUUUUCCUACCACUGAGUUGUUUUGUCUGAUCAUUCUUCCUCCUGGUUCUGCGGGUCUGCCUUCUUGAAAGGGAAGAGCAAGACUCCAGCUCCCUGCCCUGUAGAGGUGCCUUCUACCUUGCUCAGUGUUGAAGCAAAGGAGCAAAGCAAAGCUUAAGUCAGAGAUUUGGUGCUCAGCUAAUCACAGAGACUUUUAAAUGUCAACCAGGGUUUGCUAUCAGGCCAAAGCUGGAUUAUUAUUACCCAAAGUAGAAAAUUGUGAGACAGAGGCAGGUGGGGAGGGAGGGAGAGAGAAGAAAGCAGAAGGUGGAGGAUACGUGGAUUUAAUUUUUUAAAAAUAAAUAUAUGAUUCCGUGUCAAUUAAAAACAAGUACCCCAGGCAAGUCUUCCUGCAGUCCUGUCUUAGCCGCACACACAGCAUAACUGCAAACCCACUUGAGCUCAUUUUUGCUCAAAGACCAACUCUAUUAAACCCUUAGAAUGUUCUGGAUUUCAACACACAGUCCACAGACAGCCAUUCUAUCAAAAGCUUAGUGUUUUCCCUAUGACUGGGUUUUCUGGUAAGGUGAACUAAGGCAUCCUUUUCCAUUUCAGGCUGUGGUAACAGCAGAUAACAGCCGCAGAGGUCAUAGCCAGCACUUUCUAUGCGUCCCUUCAUUUAAUCCCAGUACUCCUAGGUGGUAGAUCUAUUAUUUUGUCCACAUGAAUUAUUGAAAAGUCUGUCCUAAAUUUUAAAUGGAACGAAGUACUGGGUUGCAAGUUACUGGUGGCUGUUUCACAGGAAAUACUACGACAAUGGGACUUUGGGAAUGUGUUCUGGAGACUCCACUCCUUGGUGACUACUACAUGGAGCACAGAAAAUUGUCUUGAGUGGCAGCUAUGUGCCAGGUGAGGAGACAGGUUUUACUCACAUGACUCCCCAGAAGCCCUGCAGCAUCCCCAUAUUUUAUAAAGGGGAAGUACAAGCCCAGAGAGACAUCUGACUUGACUAAGUUCACACAAAAACAGCAAGGUCUGGGCCAAGAUGGAAGCCCGGGCUUUGCCUUCUUCUUCUGCCUGCAGGGCAGGGGCUUUCAUCCUGGCUUCACGCUGAUUUCAAAAGCCUCUCAUUCUCUUGACACCUCAUGGCCCCUGAGUUUAUCCCAAGAAUAAUAAGUUCUACUGUCCUCCUGGAGAUGCCGAAGAAUCAAAACUGCAACACACAGAGGGCCUGGGUGUGCGCGAACACUGUAGUACACACCGAUGACAGCAGAUUAAGCCAUUUCUCUCUUAGGUGCGUCACCCAACCAGCUCCUGGACCCUUCUGCUGUGCUGCCCUGACAGUCACAAUAUGUCCUAGUGGACUAAUUAGCACUAACUACCCAUGUCACCCCAAGGCCAUUUAAGAAGACAAAUAAAAAAGACAAAACCAAUGAGUAUUGUGGCUGAAGAUGACGAAAAAAAGUUAAAAGCAGGGAGGAAUGAAUUAUUUUUUCUUUCUCAAUCUCUCCCUCUGCUUAAACCAAAGAGAGGUUUUCAUCUGAGAGCCCGGGAGCUAAGCAGCUACUUUCUACAUGAAAAAGUGAAAACAUUAAAAUAAAAUCCCUUUCUUUCAAGCUAACGUUCUAAAACUGAACCUCUGCAGAGGCUCCAAAAGAGAAAUGCCUUGCUUUUAAGCCCCUGAGUGAGAGGGAUCCUGAGGAAGUGGCAGAGGGGAUGAACCUAAGCUUUGGGACAUAACAACCGGCACCUCCAGUGGCCACCACUCCUAGCUAUGCUGCCUGUGGAUGGGGCCCCCAGUGCUGGCCCCUAACAGCAUGGGGAAGCCUCCCCAGCCACUCUGAAGCUGUUCGCAUCACAUCCAAGAUGAACCUAGGCAGGGAGGCUGAGUGUGCUUGGGAGAUGCCAAGUUAGGGAAGUAAGUUCCCCAGGGUCCUUCAACUUGUGGUGCCUGAGGAUAGCUGCUUUUUUUCCAGUGCAGAUGGAGACACGGCAGCCUUGGGGGGAUGUGUGAAAGUAAGGCCUCCCUCCCUCUGCCUUUCCAAGUGGCUGAUCAUCUCCUUCCUUCUCAUAGCUACUUCUAGGAGAGGCAUCCAGGCAGGAACCACUUCUCCAUUUCACAGAUGGGAAGACUGAGAACCAUACUGGAAAGGGGUGUAUUUUAAUUAAACUGGAGAGUGGGGAACACUGAUGAGGAAAGCAAGCUGAUAGACGGAAGGCUCUGCCUGUCACUGCCAGCACGGGCACUUGGGCCUUCUUAUCAAGGGUUCUGAUGGGAGUUUCCACUAGGAUUCCAGGUGUCGAUCAUCUAGUAGCCGAGUUCUGAUGAGCUGGACUUUGGGUGGUUGAGGUAGGGAGCAGUGGAAAGGGGAAUUGGAGUCUUAUCAACCUCUUUGAACACCAGUUCCUUCCCCUCUCUUCUAUAAAAAUGUCGUAGCAAUACCUGCCUGGCAGAGUUGUGAGAAUUAAAUGAGAUGAUGAAUACAUCUGCUCUCAGCACCACACCACACCUGUGGCAGUCCUCAGAGAGAAGAAUCACAGCUUUCAUUCAUUGAGAGCUCACUAAGUGCCAGGUAUGCUCAGCUCUUGUGCAGACGUUCUUUUUCUUUGGAUGUAAAUGUGACAUGGGCAGAGCAGGAGGAGCUGUGAGGCUGGCUUGGCUGAGCCACAGGGAUUGCUGGCAUCUUAUAUGGCAUUCAGGACUAUGGAGGGUCCACGGGAAGAAACACAGAAACAGAACCCAAGUAUCCUUCGGGGACUCUUGGACUUUCUUCCCCUUGAUCUUAGACAUGCCUCAGUAAACAGAUGCUGGUUUCUAUCGAGACUCAUUCCUGGGGAAGGACCCCCACCAGCCAAGCAAGGUAAAGCCCAGACUCAGUUACAUGAAUUACAGGUUUAAGACAGAAGCCUUCCUAUGAAUAUUUUUCUGGCCAGUGGCUUAUAUAAGAGAAAUUUGCUCAUUGUAUUUCUAUCUGGCCAACGAAGGGGUCUAGAGGGGCUUUCAGCAACCCAAACAGUCUUGUCAGCCCUAACUCUGGACCUAAGGAAAUAAUUAUGAAUCCUCAAGAUCCAUUUAAAAGUGUCAUUACUGUAGAUAAACAAAGACGAGUGGAUGCUUCUUCCUACUCCACCUCACUGCAGAGAUUCCAUCCAUCCCAGGGUCACUGACCACUGACUGGAUGAACUAGGAUUGGUGUGGCAGAGUGGAGUUUUCAGGAGCCAAGAGACUCCUGGAUUGUCAUGCUCUGUACUCCUUCCCCACGAAAGGAAUGUCUAGAACUCCUGCUGAAAGUAGUCAUUGCCUGCAUUUCCUAGGCAGAAUGUGUUAGCUCCCUCCCCAGAAGAACCUGGGCGAAGAAGGUGUUCCAAUCUGCAUUUGGAAAGAAUCCCUCCCGCAAAGAACUCUACACCCUCUAAGAGAAGAUAACGUGAGGGCAUAUUCUCCUCUCUUAGAGGGUGUUUUCAAUACUAAAUUCUAUCUCUGAAGAGAAUGAGGACCCGAAGGGGGGCAGUGCACCA